RNAcentral lists this ribosomal RNA (713 nucleotides) under Clostridium sp. RTT4. RNAcentral describes it as "bacterial SSU rRNA". It matches the Rfam family "Bacterial small subunit ribosomal RNA", at positions 22 to 752 of the family's 1533-position model. Lineage: Bacteria; Bacillati; Bacillota; Clostridia; Eubacteriales; Clostridiaceae. The record is from RNAcentral.
UGUCAGGACGAACGCUGGCGGCGUGCCUAACACAUGCAAGUCGAGCGAUGAAACCCCUUCGGGGGUGGAUUAGCGGCGGACGGGUGAGUAACACGUGGGUAACCUGCCUCAAAGUGGGGGAUAGCCUUCCGAAAGGAAGAUUAAUACCGCAUAAAGCCAAGUUUCACAUGGAAUUUGGAUGAAAGGAGUAAUUCGCUUUGAGAUGGACCCGCGGCGCAUUAGUUAGUUGGUGGGGUAAUGGCCUACCAAGACAGCGAUGCGUAGCCGACCUGAGAGGGUGAUCGGCCACAUUGGAACUGAGAUACGGUCCAGACUCCUACGGGAGGCAGCAGUGGGGAAUAUUGCACAAUGGGCGAAAGCCUGAUGCAGCAACGCCGCGUGAGUGAUGAAGGUCUUCGGAUUGUAAAGCUCUGUCUUUUGGGACGAUAAUGACGGUACCAAAGGAGGAAGCCACGGCUAACUACGUGCCAGCAGCCGCGGUAAUACGUAGGUGGCGAGCGUUGUCCGGAUUUACUGGGCGUAAAGGGUGCGUAGGCGGAUGUUUAAGUGAGAUGUGAAAUACCCGGGCUUAACUUGGGUGCUGCAUUUCAAACUGGAUAUCUAGAGUGCAGGAGAGGAGAAUGGAAUUCCUAGUGUAGCGGUGAAAUGCGUAGAGAUUAGGAAGAACAUCCAGUGGCGAAGGCGAUUCUCUGGACUGUAACUGACGCUGAUGC